This 305-nucleotide ribosomal RNA is filed under the name uncultured bacterium. RNAcentral describes it as "bacterial SSU rRNA". It matches the Rfam family "Bacterial small subunit ribosomal RNA", at positions 338 to 660 of the family's 1533-position model. The record is from RNAcentral.
CCUACGGGGCGCAGCAGUGGGGAAUAUUGCACAAUGGGGGAAACCCUGAUGCAGCAACGCCGCGUGAGUGAAGAAGUCAUCCGUGAUGUAAAGCUCUAUCAGCAGGGAAGAAGAUGACGGUACCUGACUAAGAAGCCCCGGCUAACUACGUGCCAGCAGCCGCGGUAAUACGUAGGGGGCAAGCGUUAUCCGGAUUUACUGGGUGUAAAGGGAGCGUAGACGGCAUGGCAAGUCUGAUGUGAAAACCCGGGGCUCAACCCCGGGACUGCAUUGGAAACUGUCAGGCUAGAGUGUCGGAGAGGCAA